UUCCGGUUGAUCCUGCCGGAGGCUGCCGCUAUUGGAGUUCGAUUAAGCCAUGCGAGUCUAGAGGCCUAGCCUCGGCGUACCGCUCAGUAACACGUGGGUAACCUACCCUAUGCUGGGGGAUAAGCUCGGGAAACUGAGAAUAAUACCCCAUAGUCCACUACGCCUGGAACGGUGAGUGGAUCAAAGCUCCGGCGGCAUAGGAUGGGCCUGCGGCGUAUCAGGUUGUAGGGGGUGUAAAGGACCUCCUAGCCAUCGACGCGUACGGGUGUUGGGAGACAUAGCCCGGAGAUGGAUUCUGAGACACGAAUCCAGACCCUACGGGGUGCAGCAGGCGCGAAAACUUCACACUGCAGGAAACUGUGAUGAGGGAACUCCAAGUGCGUGCACUUAGUGUGCGCUUUUGUUGACUAUUAAUCGGUCAAUAUAACAAGGGCUGGGAAAGACCGGUGCCAGCCGCCGCGGUAAUACCGGCAGCUCGAGUGGUCGUCGCUUUUAUUGGGCCUAAAACGUCCGUAGCCUGUUUGGUAAAUCUGUGGGUAAAUCAACCAGCUUAACUGGUUGAAUUCUGCAGAGACUGCCAGACUAGGGACCGGGAGAGGUGUGGGGUACUCUAGGGGUAGGGGUAAAAUCCUGUCAUCCUUAGAGGACCACCAGUUGCGAAGGCGCCACACUGGAACGGAUUCGACGGUCAGGGACGAAGCCUAGGGGCACGAACCGGAUUAGAUACCCGGGUAGUCCUAGGUGUAAACGCUGUGAACUUGGUGUCGGGGAUCCGUCAUGGGUCCCCGGUGCCGGAGUGAAGAUGUUAAGUUCACUGCCUGGGGAGUACGGUCGCAAGGCUGAUACUUAAAGGAAUUGGCGGGGGAGCACUGCAACGGGAGGAGCGUGCGGUUUAAUUGGAUUCAACGCCGGAA
Molecule: ribosomal RNA, 914 nt
Filed under: uncultured archaeon
Lineage: Archaea
Description: bacterial SSU rRNA
Rfam family: Archaeal small subunit ribosomal RNA
Source: RNAcentral